This is a long non-coding RNA of Cygnus olor (mute swan), 6159 nucleotides long. RefSeq lists it as uncharacterized. NCBI's taxonomy places the organism in Eukaryota, Metazoa, Chordata, Aves, Anseriformes, Anatidae. The record is from RefSeq and is a predicted model, not a curated record. The transcript is spliced from 2 exons.
UAUAAAGAAAAGAGAGAGCUUUUGCCAUGUAAGAGUUUCCUCUCAACAGAUGUAAAAAAUGUAUCAACGACACGCCUCAAAAAUAUGGUGUUAAUUGGUGGGUAGCCACUCACCAUCCACAUUUAUUACAGUCACAUGCACACAUGCUACAGCCAUUCCAAAGGCUCUGAAGAACACUAUUCAGGAUGUUAUAAUUAACCCCUGGAAAAAAAAAUAAUAAUGAUCUCACUAUAAAAUCACUGCCUGAGGAGGUUACUAAAUUUUAGGGUUCUGCUCCUGCUCUCUUAACUAUCAAGAGAGCAACUUGCAGGCCUGAAAUAAUUAGGAACAGAAAACUCAAUUAUCUAGUAAACUAAGAUCUUAAACUACCACGCUAAGCUGAACAGAAAGGCUGCACGGGGAGGAGGACCAUUAGUCCCACUCCGGAAAAGCAGAAUGGAAGAGGAGUACAAAGGGAGGCAGCUCACAAGCAAAGGUACGCUGCAGCCAACGGGGAGAGCUGGGAUUUGUAUUUUUCAGGUUGAAAAAUCCCUCGGCACAAAACAACUGCCAAAAAAAAGGAAAAAGGAAGAGGAAAGGGCUCUGCAGUAAGAAGGCUCUACACACAGUGUGCAUGGGACAUUAUCCGCUUAAGGGAGGCAGUAACCCACUUGCACCAGUCUGGUUAUCCAGAGUGUCAUCAGGAACACAAAGCGAUCUGAACAGCAAACAUGAGAGAAGAAACAGACCAGGAAAAAUGGAAAUUCAAGUUAUUAUUUCUACAUGAGAAAUUAUGCAGGAAAAGACAAAAGGAAGAAGAAAACAAAGACAGGCAGUGUAAGAAAAGAGAAUUUAGCUAUUAUUGAGCGUGAACAGCCGAGGCAGCUAUCCCGGCGCAGAACCGCACGCUGGCUCACGGGCUGGCAUUAAGUCUCAACUGCAGAAAAGCCUAUAAAAAGCACUCUCCCGUCACCCUGCCUUCUCUGCCCUCCAGCAUAAGACAUCUCACGGAGCUCGAGCCGAGCUGCUGGCAUGAAAUGCAUCCUCCCACCCCUCCGAGGAGCCAGCCGCAGCUGACAGACGUCAGGUCCUGCUGCUCCCUGCCACCGUGCAGGCGUGCCAAAGCGCGGUCCGGAGCUGCAAAAACCUGGACCGCUGGCUGCAGUACCAGAGGAGACCGAGUCCCUGCUCGCUGCCUAAUGCACGCCUCCAGCCAGCAUUUCUCCUGUAGCAUUAGUACCAGUCAUGAAACAGCACGACACUUCCCUUGCUUUUUUUUUUUUCUUAAAUUAGGAGUAUCAAGCUGACACAGCUGGGCUCCCCUAUGAGAGCGCUGUGCCGACGUCCCCCCCAGCCCAUACACCGCCGAUCCAGUAAAAUGAAGCCCUGUGACAUUUCUCCUGCAUGCGCUACAACUCUGCUAUGUUUCCUAGACUUACACCUUCAGCCACAGCUGCUCAUAAUGCAGUACGUGGAUACUAGAAGUCAUGCUUUUCUGUUUGUGUUAAAAGAUAAAACAAACCCACAUUUAAAAUAAGUUGUUUAAACACUCAGUUUCUCCAGGCUAAUAUGAUCUAUAGGCAAAGGCUCCCAGAAUCAAUUCGGCGGUGUUUUGUGACUGGGAACUCCAGAACUUUUUUUAAUUGACAGAUGUAUGAAAGAAAUAAAGCACUAAACUGAAGCCUGGAAAAUACUUCUUGAGUGAUGCUCCCCUAUUACUGAGAUUUAUGCAGCUGCUACUAGGAGAAGCGAGUGCUCUGAAGUGUAAUUACUACACAGAGUCAUGCAAGACGGGCCAGACCCAAGGUAUAAGCAAGCAGUCAUUGCUUUAAUUAUGAUCAAGUUUAUGUACUUAAGCAAAUGCAAAAUCCACUUUCAAUUUGAAAUGUGGGAACUUUAUCAUCGUAACAAGCUGGAGGCAUUCACUUGCAACACCCGCCCUGCGAGGGGACACGGAACUGGCUACCCACGGGGGCUGCGACGAGGCAAGGGGGCUCCUUUCACCUCCCCAAAGACCAGGGCAGCAGCUGGGGCUCCCGGGGAGCCUGAGCACCGCUGGAGAAGCAGGAGGCCCGGGCGAAGGCACAGCCCCUGCAACCCCGCGGCAAAGCCUGCAGCAACCCCGCGGGAGCAUCUCCGGCUGCCACCCCGGCGCCUCGCCCUGUGAAACCACGCUCAGGUUAUCUAGGGAUCAAAGCAGGCGUUCCACUGCUUCCACAGGAGCAGGGAAAAACACUUAUUUGAUUACAGGCAACCGAAAGUGUCAUUUUAACAGCAAUAAGAGGAGCCCUGUCCCCUCCCUGCAACCACCUCAUCUCGAGGUUAUUUCCAGCGCUGCCUCCCUCCCUGCUGACCAAGGCCCUGCGGGAUGCGGAGAGAGGAGACGCUGCUCCUGCUCCCAAGGGAGAAGUAAGGAAAGCGUCCAAACUGUGGGAAGGGGGCACGAGGAUAGAGGGACAAGGGUACCAAUAGGUACAUCUAAACCCUCCCUGCAGAGCCAGCAGCUGUAGGUAAGCCGAGGCAUCGCUAUGGAUGGCAGGACUGGGGACUGGCACCCACAGACACCCCGCACAGUGCCACCCCGCAGCUCCCUUCACCUCCUGCGCUGCAGCAGGGGCUCUCACACGUCGGGGCUGUGCGGCACCGACCGCAAGGAUGCUCUCCAGCCCGUGGCUAGGUGGUGAUCUCACCGCACGUCCCCUGCCUCUUGCCUCUUCCUUCGCACCCUCCGAUCCCCAGCUCCUCAGGCAGGCACCCUCCGCUGCGCAGCGAGCCGAGCCUGGCAGCAAUCCGGGCAGCUCCGCACCGCGACUAUCGCGACCCUCCCGCCCCGUCCGCGCACCCUGUGGAUGCUGACAGCCCCCGGCCACCAAAAACGCUGAGAAUCCAGUAAUUUCGCUCACAUCUCCGAGCAGGAGCGAGGCACGGUUGCCAGCAGCCCCGCAGGUUCUUUCAAUGAAAUACUGCCACGUGAGCGAUGCCUCGCAAGAGCUGUGCUGCUCUGGAUAGUUAACGUACUUUUUCUGCCUCUUCUCCAUUGACUCAGUGAUGGAUUUGCUAUGUUUAUGCAACAGCCUGGGUUUCCGGUACAGUACUGCUUUGGGUUAGGAAUCAAUUAGACUGAAAUGCAAAACACAAAGGCUGGUAUUUGAAGCACUCCUUUAUACGCGCUCUUGCAAUCUAUAUUAUGUUUAUGGGCCGAGUAACAGUUGUCUAAAAGGCAUUCAAGCAUAUCCUGUAUUCAUCUUCAAACCUGCUGUGUGUAUUUCAUUUAAGUACAGCAGGCUUUUACUGUUCCAGGUAAGUACACAGAUAUUGUCAAGCACGCCAUUAUAGCAAAGAAUUAUAUACAGUGCCAAAUAGGCAGCAUUUAGUAUCUCUGCUAAGACUAGGGAGUGCUUUGAGAUUUCAAGCCAAAUUAGAAAACAACAUUACUGCUCUUUACUGGAUCUGACUUCACAGUGGGGUCUGUCAUUACCUUGACAAUGACUCCCUGCAAAAAUAAAGUUUAUUUAUCAACAAGGAGGUAUAUCAGAAGGGAGUUAAAGCUUGUGGAAACGUACAACAAAACCUAGUGGCAGCUUUCUUUCAGCGUCUGUUUUAGGUUAUACCCAAAGUUCGCCGACAGAAGAAAAAGUCUCAAAUUGUAACUAAAGUUAUUCUCCAAUGGAGCAAGAGAUUUUCACUCAUUUUCUGCAGUUUUCUCUCUGGCACUACUGACUUUCCUUGGGGUAAUAAUCCCAAGAAUGCAGCUGGACGGGAGUGAAUCCCAUUCCAUUCAUUGACCCAAAAUAUUACCAUGCUCCAUGGUCCUGAGCCCAAAGGGCACCCCACGCCCCUGCAGAGGCAUUCCUCAGCAGCCGACUGCAGACGCUCUCCCCACCACAAGCACUGCAAUGGCCCAGAGAAAGUCCAGAGCUGUUCCCUGAGCGCUGCACAACCGUGGGACUUGUCCUUCCAGCGUGUGAGGGUUUGUCCUGGAGGAGAAAGCGAGCGACUUGCUCCAAGAUCAGAAGCAAAGUCACUGGGUGAGUUGGCUGCCAGCAGACGUAGUAAGAGCCAAGUCGUUGUCUCACAUCCAGGAUGAUAAUUUCCCUUGUUACAACUGCUCACACCAUAAAAAUUUCACUUAAUCAUCUACCUGCCUCAAGCCUGUAAGUAAUGAGAGGCAGGAUCAUGUGUAGCUGAUUUUAUCAAAUGCUCUUACGAAGCUCUCCACUGGGAAAACUCUGAAUCAAUUAAAACACCAAGGAGAGAUGUAGGAGAGGGAUCCGUACUCCCCAGCAGAUGCUCGCCAGGUUCUCAGCGCACUUCCCUCGCUCUUCCCCUGCCAAAGGGAUGAACAAGCUCCAGCCCCACGGCAACACAGCCGCCUGAGCCUUGCCUACAGCAGAGGAAACCACCGUGGGGCAGGGGAGAAAAGAAGGACCUGUAACAUCUGUUGGCACAUCUCCGUGUUUUCGGCACAUACUGGGCAGCCCACAUGGGCACGCUGUGGCUGGGUUUUCUCACCUCUGCUGUGAUGGAUCCCCUUGUGCUUACUCUGGCCCAGCUGCCUCGCUUGAGAUCUUGAAUGCCCUGCAGAAACCAAGAGCUGCAGGUGCUGGCAGCUUCUCUCUGGUAAAAUAACCCUUUCCAUCUUAUUCUGCACCCUGCAGAAGCUGCAUUUUCAGGGGUCCAUAACCAUUUGUGGAGGAGGAGAAGGGAGAAGCUCUUUGUGAUAUAGCAGUACUCACGCGUUGUUUGAUGGAAAAAAGAAAAGUGCAUUUGCCACGGGGCACUGGGAGGAAUGAUGGAUUGCCAGGCAGCAAACAUCCCUUCCCUCUUUGGCAGGAUAUUGUAUUCCUUGUACCAUACAGGUAUGCUGAUAGAUCCAUAAAGCAUUAGCCUUUCCCUCACCCCAAAAAGCAGCGGCUGAUAAAUCACAAGCUCGGUGCGUUUGUUGGGAGCAGAUCACACAGCAGAAGCAGCGAAGCCUUCAGAGAGAUGCAUCACUUGAAGACGCUGCCGAUGCCAAUAGAGCUGUACAUCAGGAGUGCCCAGACAAAUCACUUCACCUGUCCAGAAAAAUGAGAAUCUUCGGAGCUGGCACUUCUUUCCAGUAUGUGCCAGUUUCAGUCACACACGCCUCAGAAAUGCCUGCCAGAGCCAUGGAAAAUCUCUGCCUUCGGUCCUGGGAGUCUCCCUUAUUUACAAAGAGUUUGAAAAGUCUGCUCUCCUACUGCAGGACAGAAAACUUUCUGAAACUGCAGAAGAUUUUAUGGGAAAAGAUCCCAGCCAGAGCCAGACCUUUUCACACCAGCUCUUUACCAUGGAUAAGGCACAGGCUUUGCAGGGGGCAGCUAGGUUCACAGCUAACCUUCCAGUUAUCUAAGGAUUUUGCAUCCUUUGUAAAAUUAAAAAUGCACAGGCACGGCAAAUGUGGCUUAAAAGCCAUCUCUUCUCCAGCUCUCCCAGGGCUGAGCACAGGGCACAAGAAAUCACUUUAGACACAGCCCCGCAGAGGGAAUGAAAGCAGACGAGAUGGGAGAAAACUAUUUCACCAUGCACUGCUGCCUCUGCUGGGAACACAGGGCAGACACCUCUCAAGCUGAUAUUUUCAUUUAUCAUCUCCCAGUGAUUAGUCAGCUGAAGAGAUGCCGCCAGGAGACGGCACAGAGGGGAUCAGCCCAGAGCGCUCACCUAUGAAAAUAAAGCAGUGCCGACAGUUCCCAGCCCAGGGCUGUCACGCCACGGGCAGCCUGCUCGCCGGGGGAGCUGGGCUGCAAAAUUAGAGGGCAUCGCUCUGCACCGGCCCUGCUGGCAGCUUUGGGACAGGCGUGGGAGGCACUCUGGAUUUAAUUCCAGCAAAAAGCUGCACUCCUGAUUCCCCGCUCCAGCACAGGCUUAAUAGCACAGAGCAAGCUCUGCAAGCAGCUGAAGCAACAGACGAUGCGACGCACAGUCCUGUUGCACCACUGCACAACGUUGUACAACAAGUCCCACUGCACAACAUGGAGAGCACACGCUUCGAGCUGGGAUUUACGGCGGAACCGACAGAAGUUAUAUUGGAUAUAUAAAUUGCUCCCACUCUGAAGGAGGCCACAAUGUAUUCAGGUGCCUUUCCAGGAACGCUUUUUUCCUAUGCAGAGGCACCGCAGUAAAACCUGAUUUAUGCCUUAUUAAAUUAUUUUAAUGCUC